UAACACGUGGAUAACCUGCCUCAAGGCUGGGGAUAACAUUUGGAAACAGAUGCUAAUACCGAAUAAAACUUAGUAUCGCAUGAUAUCAAGUUAAAAGGCGCUACGGCGUCACCUAGAGAUGGAUCCGCGGUGCAUUAGUUAGUUGGUGGGGUAAAGGCUUACCAAGACGAUGAUGCAUAGCCGAGUUGAGAGACUGAUCGGCCACAUUGGGACUGAGACACGGCCCAAACUCCUACGGGAGGCUGCAGUAGGGAAUCUUCCACAAUGGGCGCAAGCCUGAUGGAGCAACGCCGCGUGUGUGAUGAAGGCUUUCGGGUCGUAAAGCACUGUUGUAUGGGAAGAAAUGCUAAAAUAGGGAAUGAUUUUAGUUUGACGGUACCAUACCAGAAAGGGACGGCUAAAUACGUGCCAGCAGCCGCGGUAAUACGUAUGUCCCGAGCGUUAUCCGGAUUUAUUGGGCGUAAAGCGAGCGCAGACGGUUGAUUAAGUCUGAUGUGAAAGCCCGGAGCUCAACUCCGGAAUGGCAUUGGAAACUGGUUAACUUGAGUGUUGUAGAGGUAAGUGGAACUCCAUGUGUAGCGGUGGAAUGCGUAGAUAUAUGGAAGAACACCAGUGGCGAAGGCGGCUUACUGGACAACAACUGACGUUGAGGCUCGAAAGUGUGGGUAGCAAACAGGAUUAGAUACCCUGGUAGUCCACACCGUAAACGAUGAAUACUAGGUGUUAGGAGGUUUCCGCCUCUUAGUGCCGAAGCUAACGCAUUAAGUAUUCCGCCUGGGGAGUACGACCGCAAGGUUGAAACUCAAAGGAAUUGACGGGGACCCGCACAAGCGGUGGAGCAUGUGGUUUAAUUCGAAGCAACGCGAAGAACCUUACCAGGUCUUGACAUCCUUUGAAGCUUUUAGAGAUAGAAGUGUUCUCUUCGGAGACAAAGUGACAGGUGGUGCAUGGUCGUCGUCAGCUCGUGUCGUGAGAUGUUGGGUUAAGUCCCGCAACGAGCGCAACCCUUAUUGUUAGUUGCCAGCAUUCAGUUGGGCACUCUAGCGAGACUGCCGGUGACAAACCGGAGGAAGGCGGGGACGACGUCAGAUCAUCAUGCCCCUUAUGACCUGGGCUACACACGUGCUACAAUGGCGUAUACAACGAGUUGCCAACCUGCGAAGGUGAGCUAAUCUCUUAAAGUACGUCUCAGUUCGGACUGCAGUCUGCAACUCGACUGCACGAAGUCGGAAUCGCUAGUAAUCGCGGAUCAGCACGCCGCGGUGAAUACGUUCCCGGGUCUUGUACACACCGCCCGUCACACCAUGGGAGUUUGUAAUGCCCAAAGCCGGUGGCCUAACC
RNAcentral lists this ribosomal RNA (1341 nucleotides) under Leuconostoc citreum. RNAcentral's name for it is "bacterial SSU rRNA". It matches the Rfam family "Bacterial small subunit ribosomal RNA", at positions 111 to 1440 of the family's 1533-position model. The record is from RNAcentral. Lineage: Bacteria; Bacillati; Bacillota; Bacilli; Lactobacillales; Lactobacillaceae.